Molecule: transfer RNA, 69 nt
Filed under: Callulina kreffti (Krefft's secret frog)
Lineage: Eukaryota; Metazoa; Chordata; Amphibia; Anura; Brevicipitidae
Description: tRNA-His
Rfam family: tRNA
About the family: Transfer RNA (tRNA) molecules are approximately 80 nucleotides in length. Their secondary structure includes four short double-helical elements and three loops (D, anti-codon, and T loops).
Source: RNAcentral
GUAAAUGUAGUUUAACAAAAACCUCAGGUUGUGAUCCUGACAACGAAAGAUAAAAUCCCUCCAUUUACC